Molecule: ribosomal RNA, 387 nt
Filed under: uncultured bacterium
Lineage: Bacteria
Description: bacterial SSU rRNA
Rfam family: Bacterial small subunit ribosomal RNA
Source: RNAcentral
AUUGAACGCUGGCGGCAUGCCUUACACAUGCAAGUCGAACGGCAGCGGACCUUCGGGUGCCGGCGAGUGGCGAACGGGUGAGUAAUGCAUCGGAACGUGCCAUUGAGUGGGGGGAUAACGUAGCGAAAGUUACGCUAAUACCGCAUAUUCUGUGAGCAGGAAAGCAGGGGACCGCAAGGCCUUGCGCUCUUUGAGCGGCCGAUGUCAGAUUAGCUAGUUGGUGAGGUAAAGGCUUACCAAGGCGACGAUCUGUAGCGGGUCUGAGAGGAUGAUCCGCCACACUGGAACUGAGACACGGUCCAGACUCCUACGGGAGGCAGCAGUGGGGAAUUUUGGACAAUGGGCGCAAGCCUGAUCCAGCCAUGCCGCGUGAGUGAAGAAGGCCUC